Long non-coding RNA from Anastrepha obliqua, 798 nucleotides. RefSeq lists it as uncharacterized. The transcript is spliced from 4 exons. The record is from RefSeq and is a predicted model, not a curated record. Lineage: Eukaryota; Metazoa; Arthropoda; Insecta; Diptera; Tephritidae.
UCCACUUUGAUGCUUUGCUUUGUUAUUAUUCGUUGAAAAUCUUUUAUCUGUUUGUAAACAUUCAAGUCGAUUAUGUCUUACAUAUGGUGAUAGUCGAUUAUUUGGAGUCGGCUUUCUGCUGCAGAAAACCACCGGUUUGUGAAUUUUCAUACAUGUUUUUAUAGCAGCGUUUUUGCAAAUAUAACAGAGACCACCUUACAUACAAUACAUAAACUACAGUUAGACUUCACAGACGAGCAAUUGCUGCGGAAGGUGUGUGUUGAAGAGCUAGGUGGCCCAACUAUUGUGGUUUUUAGAAAGGAAAGCUCGUAUGCGCGUAUUUCUACCAUUGUCUCAUGUGGUGCUACGGACAAUUUCAUAGGAGACAUGGAGCGUGUUGUGUAUGAUGGUGCAAAUUCCUGUUUAACAUGUGACGGUUAUUAUGUGCCUAGUACUGCUACCUCUGAAAUGAAUUUGACUUCCGAACUGGCUGUCCACGUCGAUACCUUACCCCGUCUAGAACAGUUUUCUGUACGUAGAUGUAUGCGCAACACCUACACGAGCAAGUCCUCGCGCUUUAAGUCUACAAUUACAGAUAAGUUGUAAUGAUAUAUUUGUGAGUUAUUUUUAAGUUUUUGGUUUACAGGUUUUUGAUUUCUGCCUGAAGUAAGUGCAGCGUUCCAACACUUAUACGAGCAAGUGCACCCACAUUCCUCAUAUUUCCACUCCGAUUCAUUACUGAGACACGUGGUAUUGAUAUACGUAAAUUUACAAACCAUCAUAAUUACUAAAAGUGGAUUAUAUUACCAAUAUCUAAAA